GCAUAACGCGAAGAACCUUACCUACUCUUGACAUCUAGCGAAGAUUGCAGAGAUGCAGUUGUGCCUUCGGGAACGCUAAGACAGGUGCUGCAUGGCUGUCGUCAGCUCGUGUUGUGAAAUGUUGGGUUAAGUCCCGCAACGAGCGCAACCCUUAUCCUUAGUUGCCAGCACGUAAUGGUGGGAACUCUAGGGAGACUGCCGGUGAUAAACCGGAGGAAGGUGGGACGACGGUCAAGUCAUCAUGGCCCUUACGAGUAGGGCUACACACGUGCUACAAUGGUACGUACAGAGGGAGGCAAGCUGGCGACAGUGAGCGGAUCUCUUAAAGCGUAUCGUAGUCCGGAUCGCAGUCUGCAACUCGACUGCGUGAAGUCGGAAUCGCUAGUAAUCGCAAAUCAGAAUGUUGCGG
This 409-nucleotide ribosomal RNA is filed under the name uncultured bacterium. RNAcentral's name for it is "bacterial SSU rRNA". It matches the Rfam family "Bacterial small subunit ribosomal RNA", at positions 954 to 1362 of the family's 1533-position model. The record is from RNAcentral.